This is a small nucleolar RNA of Meriones unguiculatus (Mongolian gerbil), 133 nucleotides long. The record is from Ensembl. Lineage: Eukaryota; Metazoa; Chordata; Mammalia; Rodentia; Muridae.
AUUGCCCCUAGAAGCAUUGCAAGCGUGGCUGCGGUGUCACAUGUGUGUCAGUAGGCAGCAGAGAGGAGAGAGGCUAGGUCCACACUCAGUGCUCUGACCUAUAAACAUCAGAAUGAUUAGUAGCCUAAUCAGU